This is a long non-coding RNA of Trichomycterus rosablanca, 949 nucleotides long. RefSeq lists it as uncharacterized. NCBI's taxonomy places the organism in Eukaryota, Metazoa, Chordata, Actinopteri, Siluriformes, Trichomycteridae. The record is from RefSeq and is a predicted model, not a curated record. The transcript is spliced from 2 exons.
CUUCUGUCUUUUCACCGUUGAGAGCAGGGGUCCUUGAGGUCCUGCUAAGGCGCUGACUUGACCUCCAACAUGCUCAUUAGUCUUCCAUCCACGAGAUACCAAGGAGCCUGCGGGACGUACAGGGUGGAUCCGCUUUUUCGGAAUCAUCUGAGCGCCAACACCAUGUUUUCAAAAUGAGCUGCAUCUUCUGCUGGCUGGUCAAUGGUGCCUGAUAAUGGAGACUAGUGUGUGAUCCUCUUUACGCAGUACUAAUCCCUGUGUGUACCUGCGGCAUAUGCAGGUGAAAAGAAGCGGUUGGCAACUGCACACGUGUCGGAGGGGGCGUGGUAAGUACGGCCCUCCUCGGUCAGGGUAGGGGGCUGCAACAGUGAAGAGAGAUACAACCAGGGCAAUUGGAUACGACUAGAUUGGGAGCAAAAAGGCACGUACAAGCAGUGUAUUAGUUUAAUUAUUUUAAUACAAAAGUUAAAUGUUUAAAAAUGAUUAAAAAAUAAAAGUGAUUAAUUUUAAAAUCUGCUGUAUUCUUGUUUGACGCAGCCGAAUACCGUGUGAUAAAACCGUCUGUCUUCUGCCAUGAGAUCCGUCACCAUCUCGGCGUGAUUCAGUCCAGGCAGGAGGUACAAAGUCACGCUCACAGAGAGGGAAGCGAGGACAUCACGUAGUUUCUCCGACGACGCUACAGGAACGAUGAUGUCACUGGUCCCAUGGAGCACGGCUACCGGUGGAACUCUGUGUUGGAAUCAACGUGACAUGGAAAAUCCAAUUAGCGAGUUUGAUUGGUUUGAGUCAUUUACCAGUGUGUAGGAUGUGUGUGACAUUUAGGAUUAUAAUUAGUACUGAAAGUGUUUCUUCUCUGAGGUGCCCAAAGUCCUAUAAUGUUUUUUUUUCUUUAGGACAUGAUCUCCAAAGUCCUUGUUAGAAGAAAAAAUAAAAAAAUACUUCAAAAUCA